AACGAACGCUGGCGGCGUGGAUAAAACAUGCAAGUCGAGCGCUAAUUUGAAGGUAGCAAUAUUUUCAAGUUGGAGCGGCGCAGGGGUGCGUAACACGUGGGUAAUUUGCCGUGAAGUUGGGGAUAACUUGCUGAAAGGCGAGCUAAUACCGAAUGUGACAUUUGGAAGGCAUCUUCUGAAUUUCAAAGUUGGGGACCGUAAGGCCUGACGCUUCAUGAUAAGCCCGCGGCCUAUCAGCUAGUUGGUGAGGUAACGGCUCACCAAGGCUAAAACGGGUAGCUGGUCUGAGAGGACAACCACCCACACUGGAACUGAGACACGGUCCAAACACCUACGGGUGGCAGCAGUCGAAAAUUUUUCUCAAUGGGCGAAAGCCUGAAGGAGCGACCCCGCGUGGGGGAUGAAUGGCUUCGGCCCGUAAACCCCUGUCAUUUGCGAACAAACCUUACGAUUUAAUAAAUCGUGAGCUGAUUGUAGCGAAAGAGGAAGGGACGGCUAACUCUGUG
This 506-nucleotide ribosomal RNA is filed under the name uncultured bacterium. RNAcentral describes it as "bacterial SSU rRNA". It matches the Rfam family "Bacterial small subunit ribosomal RNA", at positions 29 to 507 of the family's 1533-position model. The record is from RNAcentral.